AAGAGACAUACAGAAAGAGAUGUUGCAAAGAUAGAAACAACAAGAUUUAACAACAGACUGAACUGACAAAGGGAUGAAAUUAGUAAGGAAACAAGAACAUGGUUGUGGUUGGAAUUAGAGGUGAAGAAGAGAGAAAAGGUGGCAAGCUAAUUCUCACUGAAAAAGAACAAACAAUGUGAUUCAAAGCCCAGUCUCCUCACUGGAAAGUUGCUUUUCACUGGUCUAAUUUCCAUCUCUUCCCCAGUUCCCUUCACAGGCCUGUUUGGAAAGAUCCUGACGCCCAAUCAAGAGACAGACAGCUUCUGGCCAAUCUG
Phascolarctos cinereus (koala) is the source of this 314-nucleotide non-coding RNA. The record is from RefSeq and is a predicted model, not a curated record. NCBI's taxonomy places the organism in Eukaryota, Metazoa, Chordata, Mammalia, Diprotodontia, Phascolarctidae.